Brachypodium distachyon (stiff brome) is the source of this 125-nucleotide non-coding RNA. Lineage: Eukaryota; Viridiplantae; Streptophyta; Magnoliopsida; Poales; Poaceae. The record is from Rfam.
CAUGUACUCCCUCCGUCCAAUAUUAGUUGUCUCAAAUUUGUUCAAAUAUGGAUGUAUCUGUGCCUGAAAAGCAUCUAGAUACAUGUAAUAUUUCGACAAUUAAUAUGGGACGGAGAGAGUAGUUC